UGGCGGCGUGCCUAAUACAUGCAAGUUGAGCGCUGAAGGUUGGUACUUGUACCGACUGGAUGAGCAGCGAACGGGUGAGUAACGCGUGGGGAAUCUGCCUUUGAGCGGGGAACAACAUUUGGAAACGAAUGCUAAUACCGCAUAAAAACUUUAAACACAAGUUUUAAGUUUGAAAGAUGCAAUUGCAUCACUCAAAGAUGAUCCCGCGUUGUAUUAGCUAGUUGGUGAGGUAAAGGCUCACCAAGGCGAUGAUACAUAGCCGACCUGAGAGGGUGAACGGCCACAUUGGGACUGAGACACGGCCCAAACUCCUACGGGAGGCAGCAGUAGGGAAUCUUCGGCAAUGGACGAAAGUCUGACCGAGCAACGCCGCGUGAGUGAAGAAGUUUUUCGGAUCGUAAAACUCUGUUGGUAGAGAAGAACGUUGGUGAGAGUGGAAAGCUCAUCAAGUGACGGUAACUACCCAGAAAGGGACGGCUAACUACGUGCCAGCAGCCGCGGUAAUACGUAGGUCCCGAGCGUUGUCCGGAUUUAUUGGGCGUAAAGCGAGCGCAGGUGGUUUAUUAAGUCUGGUGUAAAAGGCAGUGGCUCAACCAUUGUAUGCAUUGGAAACUGGUAGACUUGAUUGCAGGAGAGGAGAGUGGAAUUC
RNAcentral lists this ribosomal RNA (649 nucleotides) under uncultured bacterium. RNAcentral describes it as "bacterial SSU rRNA". It matches the Rfam family "Bacterial small subunit ribosomal RNA", at positions 37 to 669 of the family's 1533-position model. The record is from RNAcentral.